RNAcentral lists this ribosomal RNA (493 nucleotides) under uncultured bacterium. RNAcentral's name for it is "partial 16S ribosomal RNA". It matches the Rfam family "Bacterial small subunit ribosomal RNA", at positions 29 to 507 of the family's 1533-position model. The record is from RNAcentral.
ACGAACGCUGGCGGCGUGCUUAACACAUGCAAGUCGAACGGUGAAGCGCCUUCCUUUUUGGUGGGUGUGGAUGAGUGGCGCACGGGUGAGUAACACGUGAGUAACCUGCCCCCUUCUUCUGGAUAACCGCAUGAAAGUGUGGCUAAUACGGGAUAUUCUGGGUCUGUCGCAUGAUGGGUCUGGGAAAGAUAUUGUUUCGGUGGGGGAUGGGCUCGCGGCCUAUCAGCUUGUUGGUGGGGUGAUGGCCUACCAAGGCGGUGACGGGUAGCCGGCCUGAGAGGGUGGACGGUCACACUGGGACUGAGACACGGCCCAGACUCCUACGGGAGGCAGCAGUGGGGAAUAUUGCACAAUGGGCGCAAGGCUGAUGCAGCGACGCCGCGUGAGGGAUGGAGGCCGUCGGGUUGUGAACCUCUUUCGCCAGUGAAGCAGGCCUGCCUCGUUUGUGGGUGGGUUGACGGUAGCUGGAUAAGAAGCGCCGGCUAACUACGUG